AUGGAAUAUUACCAAGCACCCUCCACUAUUUCGGAUAGUAUUUAUGGUUCUACCUUUUUCUUAGCAACUGGCUUUCAUGGUUUUCAUGUGAUUAUAGGUACUCUUUUCUUGAUCGUAUGUGGUAUUCGCCAAUAUCUUGGUCAUCUGACCAAGAAGCAUCACGUUGGCUUUGAAGCAGCUGCAUGGUACUGGCAUUUUGUAGACGUGGUUCGGUUAUUCCCAUUUGUCUCUAUCUAUUGGUGGGGAGGUAUAUGA
This 255-nucleotide ribosomal RNA is filed under the name Triticum aestivum (bread wheat). RNAcentral's name for it is "partial small subunit ribosomal RNA". The record is from RNAcentral. Lineage: Eukaryota; Viridiplantae; Streptophyta; Magnoliopsida; Poales; Poaceae.